AAAGUACUCCCUCCGUCCCAAAAUUCUUGCCUUAGAGUUGUCUAGAUACUGAUGUAUCAAGUCACAUUUUAGUAUUAGAUACAUCUGUAUCUAGACAAAUCUAAGACAAGAAAUUUGGAACAGAGGGAGUAGUUG
Triticum aestivum (bread wheat) is the source of this 135-nucleotide non-coding RNA. Lineage: Eukaryota; Viridiplantae; Streptophyta; Magnoliopsida; Poales; Poaceae. The record is from Rfam.